AAAGACUUAAGUUAAUAAAACUAAAAACCUUCAAAGUUUAAAAUAGAUGUUAAACCCUCUAGACUUUA
This 68-nucleotide transfer RNA is filed under the name Paranurophorus simplex. Its description in RNAcentral is "tRNA-Trp". Lineage: Eukaryota; Metazoa; Arthropoda; Collembola; Entomobryomorpha; Isotomidae. The record is from RNAcentral.